UAGGGAAUCUUCCACAAUGGGCGAAAGCCUGAUGGAGCAACGCCGCGUGUGUGAUGAAGGGUUUCGGCUCGUAAAACACUGUUGUAAGAGAAGAAUGACAUUGAGAGUAACUGUUCAAUGUGUGACGGUAUCUUACCAGAAAGGGACGGCUAACUACGUGCCAG
Molecule: ribosomal RNA, 164 nt
Filed under: uncultured bacterium
Lineage: Bacteria
Description: partial 16S rRNA
Rfam family: Bacterial small subunit ribosomal RNA
Source: RNAcentral